UUAAUAGAAGCCAAAAAGAGGCACAUUAUUGUUAAUAAUAUCACUGAAUUAAUUAAUUCCUAUUAA
RNAcentral lists this transfer RNA (66 nucleotides) under Echinoecus nipponicus. RNAcentral describes it as "tRNA-Asn". The record is from RNAcentral. Lineage: Eukaryota; Metazoa; Arthropoda; Malacostraca; Decapoda; Pilumnidae.